GCCUGGAAUGCACUGCGUAGCCAGAGAAGGCCAGGCACUUCUUCACGCCCAGCUCGUCUUUCACAACGCCAAGUCAGAGGUGUUUUUAUUUGUGGCUCAAGUGGCCCGGUUUGGAAUGAGCUGUUCUGGGUGGAAUUUCAGCAAAAUAAGUUUCCGAGAGAUCAAGGGCUGCGCUCCCCGCUCCAGCCCUCCGGGCCCUGGCGAGCUCUGAGCCUGCACGCAGUAGCAGGCGUGCGGGAGAAUCAUGAAAAUAUGCAAAACUGGGCAUUGUUUCAAAGCGGUCUCUGUCGCUCUUUGUUGCCUUUGUGUUAACAACCGUCAGUGGCGCGGUCAGGAGGAGAGAUCUCGCGGAGACCCUUCCAGGGAAAUUGUUGAUAUCUGCCCACUCGGGAUUCGGCGAGAACCGGAGGCGCCGCUGGCUUGGCCUCGGGUGAACCAGCCGCGAGGGAGCCCCUGCACACGGGCCGGUGCCUGUGCCUUCCCGGACCACGGCGGGGCCCUGACAGGGAGAAGCAGGGAAGCUUCAACAAAACAAUCGUCUCCAAAGGACUUGCUGCCCUGGUUGUGUCUUUCUGUUUUCCCAAUGCUCUCGGGUUCCGGAACCUUCCCCCGAAGCUCUGGGCCCACAAGGUGCCAGCCCUGCUCUGCUGUCCGCCGCGCGUCACGUCAGGUUCACCAGUGACAUAUCCGCACUUAGCAGGAGUGACCUCGCCUCUCAGAGCGUUGCGACGCGUGUGGGUGGCUUAGUGGAGCUGUUUAUUCUCAGGCUGGUAACAUUUUAAUUAAUUAAAGGGGAACGAUCAAUGAGCAUGGACUCUAUUUCCUGUCCCAUAUUUUACAUUUUCCUUUUAAGUUAAAACUCAGAGGUUUUUUUUUUUUUUUUUUUUUAAUUUCAAUAUCUGGCUGCUCACGCCUCUCCUCUCUCCUUCCCUCCCGCUCCGUCUUAAACGUGUUUCUCCAGGGGCACCGGGGGCAGAGGGCUGGCAGUUGUCCUCGCCGCACGGAGCGUCUGAGCCCUGUAGAGUCCUGACGUGCACAAAGCGUGCAGUGACUUGACUAAUGUGACGGCAUCUGGAAAUGCUAAACGGGAGUGAAGCUGCAGGCGCGGGGGCCAGUGCAGGGGGCAGGCGCCGUGUGCACAAAGGGGACGGAGGGCAGGGGGGGCUCUGGGGGCAGACGCCGUGGAGACUGCUGUUGGUGCGGCCGGCCGCCGCGGCCGUGCCCAGCUGCGUGGGCGCUCUUGGCGGUGGGCAUGUCACUUUUAAGCACCCAAUUAAUUGACUUGACAGGGGGCGAGCUUCCUUCCUGCCGAGAGCUCCUACUGCGGACCGGGGCUCUCAUUGUGUGAAAUAUUAAUCGCGGAUCGAAAUUGGGGACCUGAAAUUAUGGUUUAAUGAUCGCUGAUCAAACACAUAUCGCAAAUAAAAGAAAUUAGCAGGGGAGGCGUGAGCGUGCG
This 1456-nucleotide long non-coding RNA is filed under the name Oryctolagus cuniculus (rabbit). Its description in RNAcentral is "lncRNA (ENSOCUG00000038041.1)". Lineage: Eukaryota; Metazoa; Chordata; Mammalia; Lagomorpha; Leporidae. The record is from RNAcentral.